AUGUCCCAAUACUGGUGGGGAGAUGAAAAUCAGAAGAAGCAUAUGCACUGGUUUGCAUGGUGGACAAUGUGUGUGCCCAAAAAACAAGGAGGGAUGGGCUUCAGAGAUUUACACUAUUUUAAUAUGGCUAUGUUAGCGAAGCAAUAUUGGAGACUCUUAUCAGAACCAAAUUCUCUCUGUGCUAAAGUUCUGGGAGCAAAAUAUUUUCCUGAUGGAGAUAUUCUAAAUUACAAACUAAAAAAAGGGAGCUCCUACACUUGGCAAAGUCUGUGGGGAGGAAUCUAA
RNAcentral lists this ribosomal RNA (285 nucleotides) under Triticum aestivum (bread wheat). Its description in RNAcentral is "partial small subunit ribosomal RNA". Lineage: Eukaryota; Viridiplantae; Streptophyta; Magnoliopsida; Poales; Poaceae. The record is from RNAcentral.